AGUGAACGCUGGCGGUAGGCCUAACACAUGCAAGUCGAACGGCAGCACAGAGGAGCUUGCUCCUUGGGUGGCGAGUGGCGGACGGGUGAGGAAUACAUCGGAAUCUACUCUGUCGUGGGGGAUAACGUAGGGAAACUUACGCUAAUACCGCAUACGACCUCCGGGUGAAAGCAGGGGACCUUCGGGCCUUGCGCGAUUGAAUGAGCCGAUGUCGGAUUAGCUAGUUGGUGGGGUAAAGGCCCACCAAGGCGACGAUCCGUAGCUGGUCUGAGAGGAUGAUCAGCCACACUGGAACUGAGACACGGUCCAGACUCCUACGGGAGGCAGCAGUGGGGAAUAUUGGACAAUGGGCGCAAGCCUGAUCCAGCCAUACCGCGUGGGUGAAGAAGGCCUUCGGGUUGUAAAGCCCUUUUGUUGGGAAAGAAAUCCAGCUGGCUAAUACCCGGUUGGGAUGACGGUACCCAAAGAAUAAGCACCGGCUAACUUCGUGCCAGCAGCCGCCGUAA
This 506-nucleotide ribosomal RNA is filed under the name uncultured bacterium. RNAcentral describes it as "partial 16S ribosomal RNA". It matches the Rfam family "Bacterial small subunit ribosomal RNA", at positions 29 to 523 of the family's 1533-position model. The record is from RNAcentral.